Long non-coding RNA from Leptopilina boulardi, 959 nucleotides. RefSeq lists it as uncharacterized. The transcript is spliced from 3 exons. Lineage: Eukaryota; Metazoa; Arthropoda; Insecta; Hymenoptera; Figitidae. The record is from RefSeq and is a predicted model, not a curated record.
UGUUUGUGAAAUGGUUUUUACAGUGCUUUUUCCUUGUUAGUGUCUCUCAGAGUUUUGUUUAUGUUAUGUCGGUUCUUUUUAACUUGUAAUAAAUAAUGAGUGCUGAAAAUAAAUCGCAGAAACGUUUUAAAGCAAAAUUUGCUAAAUUUUUCAAUCAAAUCAUCUUUUUAUCACUAUUUUAAAGUGUUCUUACAUAUUAAAACAAUUAUUUAAUAUUAUAUUUCUUAAAAAAAACAUUUUUUGUUUAAAACAAUUCAAAAAUACCCGCCGUGAAAAUGACUUUUCACGCAUUUUCACGGUCCAGAAAUAAUGUUCAUCUGAUCGAAAUUUGAGGUAUAUAAGCACCUUUUGACUAUUACAUUAUUAUUAUUAUUAUCUUAUAAUAAUCUUGGUAUUAAUUCAUUCACUCAUUCCGUCCGCACCCCUGCUCGGUUUUCGGUGACGGAGAAAAGAACAAGUUAUGGAGAGAGAAAGAUAUAUCUUUAUUUUGCAAAUGAGGGUUCGCUUGACCUGCAAUCUUUUAAAGAGGAUUAAUAAAUAACUCUGAGGACCCAGACAAUUGAAAAUGGCAUAAGAACAUCUUCGUCUAAAAUCUUAAUCUUCUUCCUUUUUGUUUUUAAAAUAAAAAUUCAUAUAUCUGUAUAUAUGUAUAUAGGAGAGAGUGACAAACAGUGGGACACUUUUUUUCAAAUACAUAUUAAUAUGUCAAUUUUAUAUAUUUUUGGACACUUUUUGGUAUAUUACAAUAAAGUUUGAACUCUUUUCUACAUAAUCCAUAUAUUCUAUUUAAAUUAUAUUGUGAUUAAAUAGAAAAAUUUCAAGUUUUUGGAAUUUUUCUUGUUUUGAAGGUUUCUGUUAAACAGUGCGGGAAACCCGUUAUUAAAAAAUGAAUAAUUGUUUGAAUAAUAAUAUUCUGCUUCAUAUACUUUGUAAAUAUAUAUGUUUUGCAUUAAAUAACG